CGGUCUAUGAUGACAAACCAAUGACAUGAAGAUAGGUGAUGACAUAAAAUGAUGCUCAAAGGAUUAUGCUGAGGCCC
Molecule: small nucleolar RNA, 77 nt
Organism: Mesocricetus auratus (golden hamster)
Lineage: Eukaryota; Metazoa; Chordata; Mammalia; Rodentia; Cricetidae
Gene: SNORD115
Rfam family: Small nucleolar RNA SNORD115
About the family: HBII-52 is a member of the C/D class of snoRNAs, which contain the C (UGAUGA) and D (CUGA) box motifs. HBII-52 is encoded in a tandemly repeated array with another C/D snoRNA, HBII-85, in the Prader-Willi syndrome (PWS) region of chromosome 15.
Source: Ensembl